Pomacea canaliculata is the source of this 1398-nucleotide long non-coding RNA. RefSeq lists it as uncharacterized. The transcript has 2 exons. The record is from RefSeq and is a predicted model, not a curated record. NCBI's taxonomy places the organism in Eukaryota, Metazoa, Mollusca, Gastropoda, Architaenioglossa, Ampullariidae.
AAUAAGAUUGUACGAUUAAAUGUUAGUGAGGUUUCUCACGCGAACAAGCAUACCAAACUAUCGAAAAACAACGGCAAAGAACAGAGUGAGUUCAACAAAAGUAUUUCUGCCCCUGACUUCGACACCAGAUCUUGUUUCUCAGAACGUAGUUUAAAGAUGGAGACGAGGGACUUUGUCGAGUGCCCGGUGAAUGUAGACAGUAGUUCAAGCUCGCAUCGUCCCCAUGACAUGACUGCUACAGGAAAAAAUGUCUUGAAGAUAACUGUCACGACAAACAUGACGCAGAAGAUGUCUACAGACGCCCAGAGAAAUCCAGAAGGUGUACCAAAGCGAACUUAAGAGGUCAGCUAGGAUCAUCAGCGGGUAACUUUACGACGAGGAUUCCGGAAAGUUCCAUCAAGAAGUCAGUUACGACGAGUAUGAAUGUGUCCAAGAGAAAACCGUUGUCGGAAUCAUUGAAGACAAAUAUCAGCUGUUGAGAGCUGUACAACCUUGCCUGGAGAAAGAACGAGGCAAGAUAGCAUAAAAACCAGCGAAAGGUCACCAGAUCUUCGUUUUCAAUCUUCCAGGUUGAGUCACCGUAAGAAGGCGCUUCUUUCCAAAACGACUCUAAUGAUGUUUGUGUUGAGUGUCGCAACUCUUGUCUUCUAUGUCCCUUACAUCGCCGUGAUGGCAUUUGGCAGAAACAACAAGAACACUCUUACCACCACCCAGCGACUGAACAUGAAUUUAGUCUCGCGAUGCUUUCCAUUCCUCAACAGUGUCAUCAACCCUUUUAUCUACAGCUUCUGCAAUCCAAAGUUUCGUCAGGAGUGUCGUCUUUUUCUGACGAAGAUCCGUAACACCCUUUAUCCACAAAUGUGAUUUUUCCUUUUGCAAAACAAUUUUCCUAUUUUUAGUAUGUGGAUGGAGCAAAGACAUUUAGUGUGUUUACUAACCGUACAUUAUUCACACUUGAAAAAAAUCAAGAAUUCUGCGAAAGUGUAAACUGAUUAUCUUACAUUUUUACACGGUAUGGAUUAUCUAACAACCUAGAUUUCCUGAACGAACUUCGUUUGGACUUCAUAAAGCAUGUAUAUAUUCUAUUACUGUAUCUGAGUUAGGUCGAUUGUAGAUAGAGUGCAUAACACCCUGACACCUGUGUAUCAAUGAAUUCGGAGGAUAUUUACUCAAAUCGCUGUACCAGCCGGUGUUUCAUCAAAGGUGUUCCCCUUUGAUAACUCUUAUCUUGGUGAAACAGGGCAAAAAUCUUAAUUCUCAAUUCUCUUGAACACAAAUUGUUUUUCUAGACUUAACAAAUAAUGGAAAUAAUUGUACAAAAAUGUUUGAUAUAUACUAUUAUUGAUUAUCUGAAUGAAAGGAAACGUUUAAAUCGAAAAUGAAUAUUGCAGUCAACAU